This 440-nucleotide ribosomal RNA is filed under the name uncultured bacterium. RNAcentral describes it as "partial 16S ribosomal RNA". It matches the Rfam family "Bacterial small subunit ribosomal RNA", at positions 338 to 795 of the family's 1533-position model. The record is from RNAcentral.
CCUACGGGUGGCAGCAGUGGGGAAUAUUGCACAAUGGGGGAAACCCUGAUGCAGCAACGCCGCGUGAGUGAAGAAGGAUUUCGGUAUGUAAAGCUCUGUCAGCAGGGAAGAAAAUGACGGUACCUGAACAACAAGCCCCGGCUAACUACGUGCCAGCAGCCGCGGGCAUACGUAGGGGGCGAGCGUUCUCCGGAUUUACUGGGUGGAAAGGGAGCGUAGACGGCAGGGCAAGUCUGGAGUGAAAGGCGGGGGGUCAACCCCCGGACUGCUCUGGAAACUGCCAGGCUGGAGUGCAGGAGAGGGAAGUGGAAUUCCGAGUGUAGCGGUGAAAUGCGUAGAUAUGAGGAGGAACACCAGUGGCGAAGGCGGCUUACUGGACUGUAACUGACGUUGAGGCUCGAAAGCGUGGGGAGCAAACAGGAUUAGAUACCCGGGUAGUC